UCCUACGGGGGGCAGCAGUGGGGAAUAUUGCACAAUGGGCGCAAGCCUGAUGGAGCAACGCCGCGUGGGUGAAGAAGGUCUUCGGAUCGUAAAACCCUGUUGUUAGAGAAGAAAGUGCGUGAGAGCAACUGUUCACGUUUCGACGGUAUCUAACCAGAAAGCCACGGCUAACUACGUGCCAGCAGCCGCGGUAAUACGUAGGUGGCAAGCGUUAUCCGGAUUUAUUGGGCGUAAAGGGAACGCAGGCGGUUUUUUAAGUCUGAUGUGAAAGCUUUCGGCUUAACCGGCGUAGUGCAUUGGAAACU
Molecule: ribosomal RNA, 305 nt
Filed under: uncultured bacterium
Lineage: Bacteria
Description: bacterial SSU rRNA
Rfam family: Bacterial small subunit ribosomal RNA
Source: RNAcentral